Molecule: non-coding RNA, 24 nt
Filed under: Arabidopsis thaliana (thale cress)
Lineage: Eukaryota; Viridiplantae; Streptophyta; Magnoliopsida; Brassicales; Brassicaceae
Source: RNAcentral
CGCAUAGAGCUAUCAAGCGAGCCA